CAUUGUCCCUCAUAACUUGGUAUAUUUUCUUGAUCGUUUCCUCUUCUCUUAGAUAUUAUAUGAACCCUAAACAUCUAUACCUAUUUUUGUAAUUUUGCACAGUUUGACUCACUGAUAAGUGAGUGAUUUUUCAUCAUCAUUUCAAGUUUAUUUAUUGCUCAAAUACCAGAAGAAAAAAUUUCAAUCUUUCAUGAUUGUAUUCCAACAUGAUUUUUAUGCUAUCCACGCAUAAGUGAUUGAUUGUUUAAACAUGAUUUUAAGUUGAUUUAUUGCUCGAUUCCCAUAAAAAGAACCAGUCUGUGAUGUUUUUAAGUAGGUGAUGGUUUUGUAAACCAUGCUACAAUGGAAAAUGAUUUCAACCCUAAUUUUAUUCGAAGUUUUUGGAGUUUUUCAUGUAUGAUUACCUGGGGAUCUGAUAUAUUUCUGUCCUUACCUGGGGAUCUGACAUAUUUCUGACAAAUUAAAUAGAACACAAUCACGAGUUUUGCCUAUACAAAAUUUCCGAUAUGUUUAUUACCCCUAGUGCUUGAUUGAUCUCCUCUGUGAGUUGUUUCAGCGGUGACAAAUUACAAUGCUGUUCUUUGAGGAGAAAUCUUCACCUGGUAACUCCCCCUCUCUCGGAUCGAGACUUCAGAGAACAUUCUUGAUUUAUAGUUCGAUCUCUGAUCCAUUUGUACUUUAUAUUCUGCUUAAUGAUUGAUAUAUUUUAUAUUAACUCCUGCAAGCAAGAUUAGAUUCUUGUCUUUUAAUUAUAUUGUUUAAUUAUCAGUGGACUUGGUUUAACUGUUUAGUUAAUCUUGCUUUAUAUUGUUUGCAUAUGUCUUGGUUCCUUGUAUUGCAGGCGAUAUAUCUCCUUUGGAUUCGAUUCAAAUGCUAAUUAAGAUUUGAUAAUUUCAAACAUUAACGUGCUACAUUAUCCUACAUGCUUAUGGGUCUGUAACUCUAUACCCUAGUGUCGGUUGAUAAAGUGGCAGAGAGAGAGUUCAGAUAGAGUGCAGUCACUUUAUAUGCAUACAUGUACAUGCGACUCUCAGAUUCCAUAGGGGUCAAAAUCUAUCUUAGCUCAUGCUCAUAAUUCAUAUAUGUGACCGCGAUUAAUUCUUGGGAAAUGAUGAUCGAACACUCCUUUCCUUAUUUUGCACGUCCCUAAUGUGCAGGGCGAGAAAAAAAAAAGUAUGAAUCAUUUUCAGGGUCAUUACUUUGCAUCCGUUUCUCAUCUGCCUUGCCGGCCCUUGCUACAUAAAAUUAUUUCAAUUCCCUGUGCGUGUAAUUAAAGUACGUGGACCUUGAUGAUUUAGCUAAACAGCUAGCUAGUCUUUCUUUUAUUGGUUUUGCUUAUCACAAAGAUAUAACUUAUUUUAGGGCUUAGCAAGGACUAAGUACUACUCAAAUUUGUUCUAGGACAACAAUUUCAGUUGGUUUAUUGAAUGUCCGCUGGACCACAAAGGUCUGUGUUGCCUUUUUCAUCUUUUCAACUCGUGCUUCAUUACUGUCUAGCUUAUUCAUUCAAGCUAAGCUUUGGAGCAAAUAAUUUGACGAGAAAUGAUUCCAACUCACCCAUUUUCUCACUUUGCACACUUAAAUAGUGGUGUGAAGUAAGAAAAAGAAGAUUUGUGCGGAAAUCAUUCCCUUAUUUGAUUGUUUAAUGGUUCAGAGGAGAAAAUUAAUGAAGUUCAUGGAACCGAAACCUUGCUGAAGAAAUUAGGGUUAUAUUUUGCCAACUAUGGUAAUGUAAACGAAGUGUGUAAAAAAAGGUCAUCCAUAUUUUUCACUGGCAAGGACAUGUGUGUGCUGGUCUUGUUUGGCUCCUUUCUCUUUUCUUUUGGAUUAUUACAUAUCAGAGACAACUAAAGCUUUUUUUAAUCUUUCAUGGUCGUAACUAAGAUCCAAACCGAGAAUAUUUUUAACUGUCAUCUAUGCAAGAAUUGGUUAGAUUUACAGAUGGGUGCUCUCACGGGGAUUUGGAUACAUCCAAUUAAUAGACCAACCCUUUUGCCACUAUAAAUUAAAAGAGUGACUAAAGGCGCUGCACGGGUCAUGAUCCAACUACUUUUCAUGUCUUAAUGUCACCCACUAAUCUAACAUGCAUUAGAAUUUCUCACCUUUCAUUUGCUGUAAAACGUUUUAAUAUAUCAUUGCUUUAUGCCCAAUCUAGAGUGCAGUUUUCUUUAUCAUUUGGUUUUACUGUGUAUUUAUAUAUGUGCUUUUGCAAAUCUAGAUUUAAUUAAGAUUGUUAGAAUAGUGUUUUACACCCUAUGUUUGAGUUUGAUUCUCUUUUCGGUAGUUUAGAAAAAGUUAAUAUGGAAUGAUGCUUAUAUAAAAGGAGUGUGUGUGUGUGUGUGUAUUUGUGUGUUUAUGAAUUAUUACCGUUAGUGCCUAUAUAUUUGUACCACUUUAGAUGCUAUCAUGGUAUAGUUGUUGGUGAACCUCUAGUAUAUAUGCUGAGAUCGAUCAUCAUGAGAAGGUACGACCUACCUUAAGUAGUACCUAUAUAUAAUGGUCAAGAAAGUUGCCAUUUAUCGUUGUUGCUGAUCACUUUCACUUGAUAUGAAAAGGCAAUCACUUCAACCUGAUAAUAUUGCUUGAUUGGUCGAUCGGUCAAAUCCCAACACACGGUGGCAAAGGUAUUGCUUCUCUAUGCCGUACCUCUUUCCGUUGGCCGUCAUGGUUUGAAAAUAUAUAUGUUUCAGCCAUCGUUUCUUCACACAGGCUUUUCCUUCAUUACUUUUCCUUAAGAGAUUAAUUAGCCAUUGCCAUUUUAAACUGGAUUGUUCUGCCACUGAUCAACACUAGGUAGUAUCAUCUGCUAAACCAUUUCACUACAUAUUCUUCCAUUGCUUGUUGAUGCUAGUGUAUCGAUAUAUUCAACUGUAUAUAUAACCCUAUAUAUAUGUCUUAAGAUGCUGUAGAUGGAUGUCAUGACUCGUGCAACUUUUAAAAACGUCAACUCAUGCUCUUCUUCUGGAUUCUAACAUUUUGUCUUGUGUUUGCUUUAGCAGAUGUCUUAUGUGUCCGUCCUAGUGGCAGUUUGGAUUAUAUGGUAUAAAUACCCUUUUAUUUCAGACUAACUUGCUAAUAAUGUAGAAUGAUCCUUAAAUCUACUGUGAUAACUGGCUGCAAAUGGUCCGUAUUUUUUUAUUACGCUAGAGAGAACUUAUCUCACGUUCACUCAAUCUGAAGAUAUAGGACAUUUUUUAUUCUCAAUGUAUAUGACUUAGUGCAGUGGUUUAUCUGGUCUGAAAAAACUUGAUAGAUAAGUCAGGAUACCAGUAAUAAAGUGAUAACUGGCUUUAUAGCCUAAGUUGAUUGAAUACAUUUGGACUUUCAUCUCAACUGCAUCUAGGUCACUUCCCCAAGCAUCUACUAUUUUAAUUCCGUUCAAGUUUAAGUUUUGAUUUGAGUAACUCGGUUAUUUUCAUAAACGAGCUAUAGGUUGACCAACUAGCUCUAAGUCUAGGUUUCUUUUUACGUUGAAAGCAGUUCCAACAAAGUUCGAAUUCCCCCUAAUUCUUAGUCUAGGGUUAGGUUUCUUCUUAAGUCGGAAGAGGCUACGAUAAAGUUUGAAUCCCCGGCCCCUACCCUAUUGAUGGAAGGAAAGGGAUCUAUGGUGCCCCAGUUCCUGAUAACUAGGUACAGAAAUUAGUGCGGCCUUGUUAAUUUAAUUCUACUCCAGAAGAGCCAAUGCAUGCCUCCUUAAUUGUUCUGGCCUCUUCUGAAGUGAUUUGCGUGGACAUGGUCCUGGCUAGCUAGUUAGCAAGAGGCCUUGUUAAGACAUUCAUUGCACUUCCAUUUUCCUCUGCACUACUCUGGUUAAUAAUGUUGUUCUUAUUUUAGAAAUUUAAGGACAUCUAAUUAUUUUCGGUGUGUAAACCAAUCCGAACUAUUCGGUUUUCAGAUUCUAUUUCAAAGAUAUCAAUGCUGAAUUCAGUAAAUGUGAGAGUAACAAUAUGUUAAGUUGUAAUGAAGUAGUUAAAGCAUGGUGCCUGUGAACAUGUGUGAGACUUGAAUGCAAUUCAUCAUUUGGCUGUUAUAAAUUGCUCACAAUAUGCUAUUAAUAUAUACUGCAUCCAUCAUUACCAUCGAUUUCAAUUUUCCAAAUAUCAUAUAGUUGCUGAAUCGGCCAUAUUCAAUUUAUAAUUGAAGACGUUACCAAGCUUUGCCAACGAAACUAUACUUUGCUGAAACAGUACAUAUGAAGCAAUGUGACAGAGAAAAGGAACAAUGGGUUUUUACCAAAUCCAGUGUAAUGUGUUGAUGACAAAAGUUAAAGCCAGCUAACUAGAUGAUCAACUUACUGGAAUAUUGUGAACUAUUGAAAAGAAAAUUCAACUAUGCUCUGGUGUAUGACAACUGACAAACACCAGUUAAAUAGGGUGUUAGAUGUGCAUCCAAGGAUCCUACAGUCACGGGUGUCGGUGGAUGUUAUACACUAAUGCAUACUAGAAAAUCCCCUAUACAUAUACCAGGUAGAUAAAGAAACUCAUUGUAAAAAAAUACUGAAAUGAUACACAUAUAAGUAGGUCUUCAACAACCAUUCCAAUCACAAUUACAGGACUGCCAAAAUUGCUUUGUUUCUUCUAGCUUGCUCGUGUAGCGUGGAUAAUCACUGGAGACCGAAAAAGCUCAUGUAUAAUUGCAGAAACGUUUAUGAAGUUUCGAAAGUUUCAUGCGCUGUAUCUAGUUAUGAUGAAGAUAAAACAAUUACAGUUUCAGUCUGGUUUUUUCAUCGAUACUUCUUUUUUACUUUUUAAUUUGAGUCUUGGAUCAAGGGAAGCAUAAUUGUGUAGUUGUAAUGCCAAUGACAACCCUAUUCAGCUGUACAAACAUAAAGGUGAGAGAGAGAGAGAGAGAGAGAGAGAGAGAGAUAAAACUGAUUACUGAUGUAACAAUGAGAUCGGAUGUGGUUAAAAAAAACUAUGUCAGAUAGGGACAAAGUUUAACCUUUUUCACAGAAAUGUAGGAGAAGAUGUAGAAGGAAAAUCAAAAGGCUAACUGCAGGAACAGGAAGGGAAGUGUCAUCAUAAUUGAUAAAAGGGAAAGGGUAGGGGAAUCUUCUCUGAAGCACAAACUCUUUUUUCACCAUAUUGAUUGAAUGAAUGAGCAGGGGAAUAUUUUUAAAAAUUAAAUUGAAAUUUCGCCUAAAUGUAUCAGACAGCAAGAAAAAAAAACAUUUUAAAAUUACCAUUCUGCAUGGCUCAAACGUGUGCCAGUAGAUAUAACAAAGUUAUAGAUUAAAAAAUACUGGCACAAAAAUUCACUGAAUUUCAUCUUCAUCUGUAGUUCAUCUGUACUACUACAGUAGCAUAGCCAUGGGGUUUGUCUUCAGCAGCAAGUACCCUCUUACCUAAUACACAUAAUUCUAACUCCAAACUUAAGGAGAAGGGAAUUUUAAUUGUAGGGUUUUCCUACAGUACACUGGUGCUUGAACGGCAAGAUUGAAAAUGUCAAAAUCUAGUCAUCUGAUACACAGGUGCAAGCUUAUACACACGUGUAGAGUAAAAUUUUUGUAAAUUAUAACCCACAUUGUAACUCAGCAGUAUCAGAGUCCAUUCAUUACAUAAUUUUUCAGACAAAAUGCAAAGACAGUUUCAUGAGAGGGGCCCCAUGUGUAUACAUACAUAUUAAAGAACCACAUUUGAUACAAAUAAAUUCAAAUUAUAAGAGAAAACUUACGGUCCCAUAUAAUUAUGAAAGAAUUCUACAAGAAAAGUUUUUGGCGAAAUGGGUUCGAAUUAUGGAAGAAAAGUGAGGGAAUUACCAGGAUCUGUGGUGAAAAAGACGAAAUCAUUUUUCAUGUUGUGUGCAAACAUUUUGGGGAAGUUGAAAUGGUUAAGUCCAGAAUUGCCAUGGUCUCCCACAGCUUUCUUGAGCUUCCAUGGUGCUAAUCCGGAAAGAGAUUUAGACAGCAGAGAAUUGAAGUUCAAGAAAGCUGUGGAAAAGCAUGGCGAGGACUUGUAAAUACAGUCUCUUCAGAUCUCAACUCCAAACCAAAGAGGAAUCCUUUGGCCUGCCAGAACAUCCCUUCUUGUGUGCCCUUCUAGCUAGUUUCUACCUAGCCAGUAUACAGUAUUAAGAGAGAGAGAGAGAGAGAGAGAGAGAGAGCGGGAGAGGUUGGGAAAAAAGGCCAUACCCUUCAUACAAAGGUCUCUCAAGGACCACUCUACAACAUAUAAUCUGUCUACCAGCUUUAUAGAGAGGGAGGGUGGAAAAUAAAGAGUGGGCUGAGUAAGGUUAAAUUGUUAAUCAUAAGACAUUUUACCCACAAAAUGCCUUUCUUUCCAAUUGAGUGCGUUGUGGGGUACUAUAUAUAUAUCUAUAUAUAUAUAUAUAUAUAUAUAUAUAUAUAUAUAUUAUUUUCUAUAUUACACGUUCGAAGAGAAAUCAAAAAUUGAAAACUAAUUACAUAAAAAAGAAAUGAAGAAAAAUUUACUGGAAAUUAAAUAUAUAUGUGUGCAUAUAUAGUUAAGGAAAAAGAAAGAGCUGGAGAAUGAAUAUUUCAAAGCCAUUCCCAUCCUCAUCAUCACAUGCUUCCAUGUGAUCAAGAUCUCUUUUUAUUUUUUUUUGGGAUUUAAAGGUAUGGGCUGUUUAUGGUCCUCCAAUCCUUAUGUUUGUUUUUUCUUUCUAGGGGUAAACAAUACAUGUAAUCAUCGCUCAUGAUAACGUAAUUUUCCAUAUUUUAGAUUUAGUGUAUGUAGUUGAACUGUUCAUGAGGUCAUUGUAGGCGUGGUAAUAAAAUUGUAACAAUAUUCUAUGUGGUUCUCGACUUCUAUUUCGUAUCUAAGUAUGUUAGAUUUAAAUUCAGAACCUUCUUUAAAAAGUUGACAAAGAAGAAAUUUGUGUGGCACUAUGUCAAAUUUGAAAUUUAUUACUUUAUUUUAAGCACCGAUCUAUUAGUGUUACUUACGUGCGAAAAACUUUUUCUUGACGUCAAAUGAUAAACUAAUUUAGAAUUUAGAGAUCAAGCUCAAAUUUUCUUUUGGCUCAGUAGUUUUUAGUUUUUACCAGUGUAUUUUAGGUUGACAACGGGGCUAAAUGCCCAAAAAAAGAAAAAUUACAAUAGAACACUUAGCAGUGUCCGCCAUUAAGAGAAGUCAGCAACAGUAAUGAAUUUGAUCAAAAUAACCUAGACCAAGAGAACAUGAGAAACUCAAGUUAGCCAAUUCAGCCGGUUAUUUCCAUAAAUCCCUGCCUACGAUUGACAAAAUAAAUGGUGAUCCAUAUUAGUAAACAAAAUUAUAUCUUUUCAUAAUUGACUAUCCAAAGUUAGCUAUAUAUGCUAGAGAAUGAAAUAUAAUUACCAGCUAGCCAUCAUCUCAAUUAAUUCCUAGAUGUUUGAAAAUUAAAAAAUGACGUCUAGACCUGCCUAGGAGCCCACGUAGGCCCUCCUAGGUCGUGACUCUAAGGAUCACGAAUCUUACUUACACAUAAAAUCGAUAACUUUUAUUUUGAAUUUUAUUUUUUAAUAAAUUGUAAGAGUUGUUGAAUACUUGGAUGAACACUCAUUAUAUGAUUGUUCCCAUGUUUUCAAUAUGUUUUAAUACUUUAUAAUCGAUAUGUCAUUUUGUUUUAUAAUUUAUGUAUCUCAAUACAAUUAUGUUUUUUUUUAAGUAUAAGUAGAUAUUUAUUUAUAUGUUAUAUUAUAAAUUAAAUUAAAAUUAAAAAAAAAACCGACUUGGCCCCUACCUGAGCCCCGUCUAGACGCCUAGGCGCUAAACCCCUGCAUGUCGUCCAAUUAGCACCUAGCGUAACCUUGAUACAUACUAAGAUUUUGUUUUAGCGUUUCUUCUCUUUCCACUAUUGCAAGGGCCUUGAGAUAUAAAAGCACAUGGUAAAGAAAACCUAAAAUUACUCCAUUGAAUUCUUGAGCAUGAGCAUCACAUGUCAUUCAAAUACAAUCAUGUAUGUAAAGUGUAAAUCGUAAAUGAACCAACCUAAUCCCUUUUUCCUCCUACACAUGUAUCUCAUGUGGUCUUGCUUCACUAAUACUAGUAUAAAUAUAAUGAAGAUAGUUUGUUUUUUCUACAAAUAUCAUAAAGUUAAAUGAGUCUCCUUUCAACGUUCAUUUUUUAAAUGAUGUUUUGUUGGCGAUGGAUGAUGGGAUAAGAAGAAGACGAAGGUGUAUCAUAACAUAACAUACGAUAUGGUGGAUGGGGAGGAUAUUAUAAAAUGCUCAUAAUUCACAUGAUCUGCGGUCAGCUAGCUACUCGCUCAGUCAGUCAGGGAUGAUGUUAAAACGGUUAAAGUGGUGGUGGUGGGGGAGUGGUUGUGCUGGCCUUGUGGACCCCCACCGCUCUCCUCCAAAUGGACCCAUGAACCCUAAAUUAUUAUUAUUUGUUUACAAAAUAAUCAGACCCCUCCAGCCCUCACCCGCCGUUACAUCAGUUUGAUAUUCCAGUUUGUUUUCUUUUGUUGGUGCACAGGGCAAGUUGGGGUGGGGGUGCUCGUACAGGAUUCCACCCAACUAGUUAUCCCUGCGGUGGUUUAUAUACCUCAUUACCCUCGGAUUGUGGGAUUCAAAACUAGGGUUCGACAGUGGGCGUGUUAUCUAACAACAUUGUACGGUGUAGAUUUCUUCGAAAUUUCUAGUAAUGUUUUUUAACAGGAACAAAAGUUCACAGAAUACCUCUUUUUACCUUAACAAUGAUGUAAAUACCAUAACAUUACAGGAUAGGCGAUCAUUUUACAAUAAUUGAGAUGGUAAUAAAAAAGUAGAAGAAUUUAGUUUGAGUUCAAAUAGCAAUCCUAUUGAUACUACGACAUGAAAUGUUUUAUAACUAUACAAUAGUAUUUCUUAAACAUAUCAUAUCUCAUAUUUAACAGUGUUUCAAUACUAUACAAUAAUUUUUUAGGACAUAAUAACUAAUAAGAAAAGAAAAAUAAUAAAGUCGAAGCACGCAAUUUAGUGGAAGAAGCCAAAAUGCUUCUUGACAAUUUCUUCAAGUCACAUCCUUCACAUCAUAGAUUUAUAAUGUCCUCAACAUACUUUAGCUAAAAAAAUUAAAGAAAAGUGUUCUCCAUGGCUAAUAACCCUAAUCAGUACAAGAAUGACCCCACAAGACGACUUGGGCCUAAUUUCAAAUUCCAGUCUUAGUUUAUCGUGCAAACUAACUAUCUAUCAGUUCUAUAUAGACAUUUGAUUUUGCAUUGGACAAAGAAAAAAGGAAAAUUUUGAAGUGUUAGCUUUAUGAUUUGCAUUUGCGCAUGGCCUGCAAGAUGGUGACUGCGAUUGGGACUAUAAAGGCAGCUCUAAGCCUAACUAGUAUGGCAUUGCUCGUGAUAAGGCCAAUUCUCAGCAAGGUGGUGGGGCCCUAGCCUCUACCGCAUCGUUGUUGUGUCUGGGCUGCGGGAGCUCUCAGCCACAUAGAUAGUUCAAUGUGCGUUGUAUACAUAUGCACAUGAUGAUAAGGUUGAAAUGUUCAAAUUUUGAUUUUGCAGCUUGCAUUACUAGGUAAACAGUAGAAGGUGGAGCUAGGUCUCUUUCUAAUAUACUAUUCACUGCUGCCAUUUGGUCAUUGAGUUGUACCAUUCAUCUAUCUGUUUCUCUGCUACAUAAUGGGGCCAGAACAUACACACAUAAAAGCUGAAGUCUGUGCCACCAAUUUGAGUUUUAGGUUCCGUCUGUGCCACCCUAACUAAUAUGAUGGGAACAAUUUUCACGACCCACUUCCUCAUCUGUAUAAAUUCAAAUUCAGAUCAUUUGAGUUUAUGGUUGUGAUUCUUUCUCCUUUUCAUUAAAUCAUGUAUAAGCUAUGUAAUAUUAUAACAAAUGGUGCAUGUCCGUAGAAAAAUAACCUACCAACACGUGAGAUGCAUCGACAAUUAAAGUAUGAAAAUGUAAUUAUCACAACCAUGACUUACUAGAUGUUUGUUAAGAUCUUAACCGAGACUCCAUGCUAUGUUCAUGUGUGUUUUACCGUCUUCGCAUGACAAUGCUUCGAGUAACUUGAAAUACCGCACUUGUGGGAUCAUAUGUAAGUUCUUUGAUAUUGGUAGACUUGUAGUAAUGAACAGUACGAAGCAAGCAUGUGGCCAAGGCAGCUGAGUAGUGGGAUCGAUCCAUCCGGCCAAGCGUGUGUGCAGAUCGUGCAGCACGGAGGUGAGAGGACAAGGAAGGGCAGGGGGAAUUAUAAGAUGGUUCUGUUAUCAUUGUAAGAUUGUGAUAAUUCAAGGGACCCACAUGAACUAGGUUCCAAAUCAUCAGUGAAUUUUUGCAGUGUCACUCAUACCGUCAUAUGAUGCAUGACAAGUCAGGUGCACGAGAGAGGAUCCGAGAGCAUCCAUUCCUCAUCACCCUCACCAGCGCCCGAUUCUGAUUCAUACAAAUUUACAUUCAUGCAGUGGUAGUACGGAUGGAUCUAUGUUCAACCGUAUCAUUCUGUUAGUCCUCUUUUCUUUCUUUGUUUACUUUUUAACUUUCUCCCACUUCAAACCUUUUUUUUUUGUUCUAGUUACUAGUUAAAUUUUAGAACCUACCAAUCAUCAUGAGAGUCUCUUGUAUCAUAAAUGAUAGACCACUUACUUUUGUAUCGUAAACUCAAAAACUUGACUUUAGCUUUCAUGCUAAUUAUGUUGAAGCUUCAUCGAUCCUAAUUAUGUUGAACUCAAAGUGUACUGGUAGACAAGAUCAGACUAAUAUGACAUUAUUAUGUACAACGAUAUAUGAAAGUAAAUCUUGUAUAUAACGCUGGCAUUUUACACUCCUAGAGUGAAUGAAUUAUUUGUAAACUUGUCUUGCACUCAAAGGCGGUUAAAUUUCCUUAUAAUCUCGGGUUUCUUAAUGGUGUAAGAAAAAUCUUAAAUCUCUUAAUAUCGUUGAAGCCUAAACACUAUAAAAGUUUGUCUCUUGUUUUAUCAUCGUACGUGUGCUGACUGGCCUAGUAAAAUGUAAUUAAAACCCUACAAUUUUUGAAAUUAGGAAAUGGGGGUUGAUGAGUUAAAAGAAAAAGUAGAUCACAUGGUGUUAGGGCAUUAGCCGAUGGAUGAGGGAUAAGGUUUUUAGAUGGGGGGUGGGUGGGGGGGCCUGGCGCAAUGGGUAUCUCGUAAUAACAGUUGGAGGUGUAAGUAGGCGCAUGUGAUUUUGGCUUGGAAGGGAAUAAAGUGUACGUAGGAACGGGACGGGAUUGCAGCAGGAAGGGAGGAGGGGGUCAGGGGUUAUGCAUGUCUCUAUGCAUUGUUUGGGAUAGGACUCUGUCGUCACUGUCGUAUAGGUCACUAAACAGCCUGUUCACUACCACCACAUUCCCUUAACAUUACAAAUUCACAUUAAUAUAUAACCUUUAAGGUUUAUUUACGUUGUUGUUAAUCGUAUUACGGUAAUUCCCAAUGCGGACAUGCCAGUGAUAUUGUUGAUGUUGCAAGCUGAAAUUUGUUAAUAUGUAAUUGAUACGUUUGUCAUUUGUCAAAAUUAAUGUCUUUAUAUUUCGUUGGCAAAUGCAGUUAAUUGCAACUUAGAAUAGUUGUAUUACAUUAAAUGAUUAACUAUGCCUAAUUGUUAUUCCCCAUUUGUCAACUUGGCAUUAGUUGACCUUUGGAUCUUUUUUUUUUUUUUUGGGUAACGGGAUAUAGCAUUAUCCGGGCAAAGAUGUCAAAGUUUUACAAUAAGGCCUACCAUGAGGCAAACAUUCACAAACAACUACUAGAAAAGAGUAGUACAAGGAGGUACAAAAAAACCAUGACGCCACAUCUAAUGCUAAAGCGUCCCUCCUCACACUACCAUAUACAUCUAGGGGGUAGGGAAGACCGUCAUUACAUAAAACAUGAACCAGGGAAGAUGGGGGUCUAUCGACCCAAAUAUGAUCACAUACUUCCCUACUUCGCCGCGAAGCCAGAAGGUCCACUACCGAGUUGGCCACUCUUGGAACCCAAGACCAGUGGCAAUCAUGAAAGGCCCCUCCCAAUCUGUUGCACUUCACUAUAAUGGGAAAAGCAUCCCAAAUGCCCUUCAUUGCCAUAUCACUAAGGCAAGAAAUAGAUUCCAAAGAGUCAGACUCAACGAUUACCGAGUUCCAACCCCUACAAAUCCCUAACUUACACCCAUGCAUAAUAGCCAUUACUUCCACCAUUGCAACACUUGUCGCCUUCACACAGUACCGAUAUGCCGCCAAGAACCUUCCAUCUUCGUCCCGCACCACCACUCCCGUGAACCCCAAACCUUCACUUGCCACCCAACUGGCAUCCACAUGAAUCUUAACAAAGCCCGGACUCAGUGGAGACCAUUGGACAUCAGUAUUCGUACUAUGAGAACUAGGCACAGGCGUAGUGGUCGGUGGUGCUCUGGCCUCGUUGAAGGUAGUUACCGAAUGGGAAAUAGUAGCAAUGACUUGUCUUGGGAAGAUUUGUUGUUGGAUGAACAUGAAGUUACACCUUGAUUUCUAUAUAUGCCAGCAUGUGAUGGCAAUAUACAAUAACAGAUUAUUCCUCACCUUCUUCGAACCAUUGGCCAAAUCGAACAUUUGUAUCAACCAGUUUUUCCAAGUUGUAAUCUUCAUCCGAUUAAUUCUGAUAUUCAAAUUUCCUCCAAACCAAACCACUUCCACCCACGGGCAUUGUAGAAACAAGUGUUCACUUGACUCUUCAUGCGACUUACAAAGAAGGCAUAAUGGUGAUGGAGACGAUCUUCUUUGGUAUAAGUUUGCCAUUGUUGCAAUAGCCGCGUGAAAAGUCUUCCACAUGAAGCAUUUUAAUUUCGGUGGUACCUCCAAAUUCCACACAAUCUUCCACAAUGUGCUAGGAAUGGUGGCCGAUGUGUGAAGGUUGAGGCUUCUUUGUGAUUGAUUCUGUGUCAGUGCCCAAUGAUAACUAGAUUUAACCGAAUAUGUCCCAUUCUUUUCAUAGGGCCACACUAGCUUAUCCCACAACCUCGGGUCUCCGAUGUGCGUCUCCAAGAUUGCCUCAAACUUCGCCUCUGCCAUGAAUGGUUUCAAAAAGUCAAUGUCUCACUCCCCAUUAUCCAGGCAAAUUAACGACUUCACCAAUAAACUUUGUGAGACAUGCACCGUGCCCAAAUGGGAAAGUUUACCUGAGGGAAUAGAUGAGAGCCAUCUGUCAACCCAGACCCUAAUAUCAUUACCAUUCAUAAUCUACUAAUGUGCUCCCCCAUGCAGAAUAUCUCUUCACACUAGAAGGCUUGACCAAGCCCAAAAUGCUCUCCCGCCCCAUUUCGUAUUGAGGAAGGAACAAUUAGGAAAGUACCGUGCCUUAAGCAUCGACACCCACAAGGAAUUCAGCUCCAUUAUCAACCUUCAACCCUGUUUCGCUAGAAUAACGUCAUUGAACAUCUCAAAACUCCUCAAUCCUAAGCCUCCCUCUUCUUUUGACCGUCCUAACUUCUUGCGUGAUAACCAAUAAAUCUGAUUCUCACCAUCUUUUUGCCCCCCCAAAAUUUCAAAAUCAUGGCAUCCAAUUCGUUGCAGAGUGAUGUGGGAAACUUGAACAAGCUCAUUGGGUAUGCUAGAAUUGCUUACGCCACCGCCUUUAUGAGGACCUCUUGCCCCGCUUGUGAGAGAGUUGAUUUCUUCCAUCCUUGAAGCUUUGCCAAUACACUUCCUUUAAUGAAGGUAAGCCCUUCUUUGAUUGACCCCAAAUAGCAUGAAGUCCCACGUAUAAACCCGGGUCCCCGACCUUAUCCAUACCAAGAAUACCCGCCAAAUGUUGAGAUAAUGUCUCAGGCACAUUGGUUCCAAAGAAAACACUAAACUUUGUCUUAUUAACUUGUUAUCCCGAAGCCGAACAAUAAUCAUCAAUCAACUGAAUUAAGUACUGGUAGUUCUUUUCCUCCACCUUUAGAAAGAUAAGUGUAUCAUCUGCAAAAAAUAUGUGUGAAAUUGUCGAACUCGAAUGGUUCAUCUGAACUCCCAUAAUCCAAUUCCGAUCACUUGCCUGUUGAAUUAGCAGCGAUAGAACUUCACUAACCAAAAGGAAUAGGUAUGGGGAUAAAAGGUCUCCUUGCCGAAGACCACACAAUGAUGCAAACUUGGGUCCAAGUUGUCCAUUUAAAAGGAUGGCAAAGUUCAACAAAGAAAUGCAACCCAAUAUCAUGUUUCUCCAUCUACUAUCGAAACCUAUCUUCUCCAUGACCACCAAUAAGAAAUCCCGCUCCACACUAUCAUAGGCAUUAUGCAUAUCCAACUUGAUUCCCAACUCAAAUUUGCAUUUCACUUUUCUCGUUUUGAGGAAAUGAAAAAGCUCAUGCACAAUGCCAAUAUUAUCUUGAAUUUACCUUUCUACCAUAAAUGCAUUUUGGGUUGGAGAAAUCAAGUCCAGUAGAAUCUGCUUAAGACGGUUAGCCAAUACCUUGGAUAACACCUUAUAUGAGUAGUUACACAAACUAAUGGGACAUAACUUGAUAUUGAUUCCUGAUUUUGUACCUUUAGAAUCAGCACCAAAUGAGUAGCCUUGAUCUUCCUUGGAUUCUCAUACCUGUGCAUCAUCUCCCUAAUUAUUUCAUUCACGUAUGCUGCAAUGAUAUCCCAGUGUGCUUGGUAGAAAAUCCCUGGAAAACCGUUUAGGCCCUGUGCUUUCAAACCUCUCAUCUGCAUAGUUGUCGUCUUCACCUUUUCUACUGAGACCAAUCCCAAGAGUGAUGCAUUCAUUUCAUCAAUGACCUUUGGGGUAACAUAAUCUAAAAUUUCCUCCAUCCCGCUAGCCUGAUGAAGUGAACAGUCCACGAAAUGCUCGUUAAUCAACUGUUGAACCUGACUAGGAUCCUCCACCCAAUCCCCAUUAUUAUUCUUCAAUGAGACCACCUUUUUCUUUCUUCUUCGAUGCAGGGUAGAUUGGUGAAAGAACUUCGUAUUGGCAUCACCAUCAUUUAGCCAUUGAACCUGUGAUCUUUGUUGCCAGUAGCACUCCUCCUGACUCCACAAUUGGUUUAUUUUUAUUUUUAUAGAUAUUCUAUUUCUUUUGAGUUCCCCUUCCAGUUCUGUUGAAGACGACCCAAUUCGCCCAUCAUCUAAUUUAUUUGCCUCCUCCGUUGUUUGAACUUCACGCUACUCCAUCUGGUUAAGUUGGCACGACAAACAUUAAUCUUGAUAUUCCAUCUUUCUACCGGGUUCCCCUCCCUGUUAUUCUCCUAUGCACCUCUCACAAUUUCUUUACACUUGCCAUCCUUUGCCCAAAAUGCCUCAAAGCGGAACUUUUUCCUUCUUGCGACCUUUUGCUCACAUUGCACCAAAAUUGGACAGUGAUCAGACCCCAAAGUCAUGCCAUUUGUGACAGUAGUAUUUGGCCAAAGUGACAACCAACUAUCAUUCACUAGCCCCCUAUCUAGUCGAGCCUCCACAAAUUGCCCAUUUUGUGUCCCUUUCCAUGGGAAUUUUGGGCCAUUGAACCCCAAAUCCAUAAUCUCCAACUUGCACAUGAACUCCUCCAAGUAUCUUGGCCGGUUGUAUUGCACUUUAACACCCCCCGAUUUCUCAUAGAAUUCAUUGAAGUCGCCACCACAUAUCCAUGGGAUGAUGUCCGGGCUGAAUUUCUAAAUCAUUCCCAUAUAGAAUUCCUCCUUCUCCGCCCUACAAGACAUGUCGUAUACACGUGCCAUAUACUCCGGUAAAUCGAAACACAGACUGCGAGUCAACUAAACCACAACUAGCAUUAAUGAAAUGCUUUGAAGAGUCCAUCACUUCCCCUUUUACCGAAUCGUCCCACCAAAGGCAAAGACCUCCCGCUCUACUAAUCAGUGCAACAUUGAACCCAUUAGAGUACCCCAUACUCCUUCUCACCCCUGCUAUUCUAUGAUCCUUCAUUUUUGUUUUCAAGAGAAAGAUCAUAAAGGGUAUAUGUUCCCUAAUUUGCCCAUGUAGGGCACAAAUUAUCGUGUAUGACCCUAGACCACGGUAGUUCCAAAAUAGGUGUAUUAUGGCAACCCUGUGGUUGUUGAAGGCCAGCCUCGGGAUGAAGUUCCCCACUUUCUUUGCCAUUAGGGUUGUCUUCUCACCCUCAUAGAUCUCCUUCAUGUAGUCCCACAUGUCCUGGUACUCGAUCGGAACAUCAUGUAACUCCUCUCCUCCGCAUAUAUCGCCAUUUCCAUCAUCAAGCAUCAUUCUCCUAUGGUCAUUUUCCUUAGUCUCUCAGCAACCCUUUCUUUUCUUUCUUUUGCCCUUCUAGUAGCCUUCUCAGUUUUUGUUUUUUUUUCUGAGACGAAUGUCCCACUUCUUUGCUCUUUCCUUCUAGCUCCCGCUUAUUUUUGCUUCCAGACCCCCCUAUAUAAGGGGUCGAGUCACUCCCACUUUCUGACCUUUCCAUGCUUAGAUCCUCUGUUUUGGCUGUGCAAUUUGAAGUUGUGUGUGCGGCACCGCAACUCCACCUUCGUUUAGUGUCGAGUUCCCUUCCUGGAUUUCCUCAAUCAAUACCGAUGGAUUUCUUCCAUACUCACUUUGGACUACAAGCUCGAAACCCACAACUAGUCGAUGUUGCCCUAUCGGCCCACAUCCUUCCAUUAUCCACUGGGCCGGGUUGAGAUUCUGUCCGUUGGAUCUUUGAUUCUCUGUUGCUUAGGAGCCUGGAGGGUAUUUUUGCUCACCCUCAAGUGGUGGUAAUGUUUGCAGUUCACCAACCUACUUAUUACCAUUUGAUUGGUUUAAAUUUUGAGAUUUGUAUCUAUUCAUUGCACAUGUCACCAAAUUUAAACUCGGUAAUAAAUAGGGUAGCAUUACCAUCUCUUAAAGGUGAUUUGUGUGUAAUCACUGCACAGGUCACCAAAUUUAAACUCGGUAAGAAAUAAAAUAGUGAGUAUCAUGAUAAAAAAUAUUCCCGAACCUGGAAGAUAGAUGGACCCACUUUACAACAACAGUCUUAUAUACAGAUGGGACCCAAACGUCCUCAAUUAUAUGUGAUCCAUCACAUGCAUGCAUGCAGGGUUUUCUCCAGUUAAUUUGUUCGUUUGUUAAACAGAUCGAAUAGAUCUGCAUGCACACAUAAGAUUUUAUAAUUGCUUUUCUUGUUGGCCUGAAUGAUUGGGUGAAAAUCGUAAUAGUAUUACUGCAGAACUACUGCUUACAUCUAUACGAAUCUGCACUUUUCAAUUGGAGUCUGAAACUCUGAGUUGGAAAGAGCAAGCAAGGCUGCUGUGCCUGUGGCUCAUGUUGCACGUACUCGUGUACAAAUUUGUAUUCCAUUGUUUUUCACUUCACGUAAAAAUGGGUACAAUUAGUAAAAUUGACGUAGUGUGAUAUAAAAGCUGGAAAAUCGAUUAAAAUACUCUUAAGUUAGAAUCGGCUAGCAAUAUGAAAUUCACUGGGAAUUGAGAAAACCUCAAAGUUUACGAUUGAAUAAUAAAAAUGAUUGAAAAUAUAAUUAACUCCAUAAGUUAGGUUAAACAGAAAACAUAAAACCCUAAUUUGUAGGAAAUUAUGAAUGUUUCAUAAUAUUCCUAAUUACUUAUUCACGUUUCAUAACCCAAAAGAAAAACAGGUAAGAAAUAUCUACGAAAUUUAAGAAAUACUUGCUAACUAUUCUCAACGUACUAUAUAUGCAGGAGUGCUUGCUAACUAUUCUCAACAUACUAUAUAUGCAAGAGUGCUCAAAACGCUAAACAGUUAGUAACCUAAUACAACGUUAACCAUACAAAAUGAAUGCCCUAGAGAAGAAAAAGCUGUCACAAACAAAUCAUUUAUAAUGGUUUUGUUAAAGCAGCUGAAAGAGAGAUAUGCAGUGCAGUUUGAGAGCAACAACAUGUGCAUAUUUUUAUAAAAUUCCACAAGAUGUGUGACAAGGCUUAAAAGAAUUUUGCAGAGAUGGGGCUCAUAAGAGAAAAAAACUUUAUCUGCAGGGCCAUCUGUAGCCCUGCUAAUUGCUCGACUUGUCCAGUCCUCUUCCUUGGAGUAUUAUGUAUCAUAUAUCUAGCUAGGUUUUCAUUGGUUAACUGCAUUCGGGGUGGAUCAGCUGCUGACAGCUGCUGGGACCUUAUGCAAUAAUCAAUAAGGUGUUGUUAUCUACACACCUCAUUUUCUAUCUCACAUAUUCCUUUCAAUUUCUGAUCGUCAGAUCGAAUCGUCGUACCCAGUGCACAAGGCUCCCGCUUUACGCAGGAUCGUCAGAUCGAAUGAAUUAAAAAAAAUAAAAAGACAUAAAUUAACAUGGAGUGUGUAAGAGAUAAAAUGAGUAUGUGGAUAACACCAUCCUAAUCAAUAAUCUACUAUUUAUUUUCUUUGGUCUCAGACUCUCAGGCAACCAAAACGUACGUAUAAGGCUAAAAGAUAGGGUUUGUCCAAAAAAAAAGGGUAAAAGAUAGGGUUCGCAGGGAUUUGGAACAUUCAAAGUUUCAAACAUAUAUGGGCCUCUAAUGAUGUUAUCUUAUACUGAUUGGUUUCGUCCAUCUUUGACCAUUUGAGAUUGUGAAGAGUCUCUGGCCCUUGUAGUUAGCAAGAUAUGCUUAAGGCCCAAAGCUAUUGGAAUUUCGAAGGAAUCCUAUAUGUGUGCAAGACUCAUGAGUAGAUCAGUUCUUUCUUUGUAAAUAAAAUAUCCAUAUAUCUUUACGACAAUUACAUCCACAAUACGUCACAAUGAGUUUAGUAUCGGACACACCAUAUACAUAUACAUAUGUGUGUGUGUGUGUGUGUGUGUCGUCCUCACAUUUGUGUGAACUGAAACACACUCUCCCCCCCCCCCCCCCCCCCCCAAAAAAAAAAAACGAAAAUCAAGUAGAGAUCAGCUGCCACUAGACCGGCCUUGCAUUUGUGUGUUAAUUGAAACUCCCACCAUCCCUUUUGAAUACCAAGUAGAGACCGGUUGCCACUAGACCGUCCAAUCAUGUGCGAAUAAAGUAUCCAUGAACAAUUGAAUUUUUUUUGCCAAACUCAUCUUGAAAUCGAUUCUGGUGGAUAUGCUUUCUUACAAGUAGUCAUAUUUGAUCGUGGAAAAUGGUGUGCACACAAGAAAAGCAAGGCAUAUAUGCUAUAUAAACAAAUUAAAGCAAGGGUGUGCAACAUCAUUCACGGCACUUGGGUAUGUAGAACAUGCAUGUUAAUCAAAUCCAAAGGACCAAACUGAAGACAAUCGCCCAAAAAACUAGUACCGAAAUUUGCAGAUUUCUCGGUCACUUGUAUCGUCUUUUCUGUUACGUAUACAUAUUUUGGUAUUUAGUUAGUUUGUAAUUCAAGUUAAAAAGUAUUUAUUUUUAUACUCGAGAUCCUAGGUUCUCUCUAGUAUGGUUUGUAUCAAAAUGAAAAAAAGAUCGUGAACCACGUUUCGUGUUCCAUAAGAAGGAAUUGGAUCCCAUCCGGAUCCACUUUAAUCUUAGUCAUUCAUCAUGUAUCGUGCGGUCAAAAAUCAUAACUUUUUUUUAUUUAAAAUUAAAUACAAAUAAUAUAUGACAAAAAUGAUCGUACGAUGUACGAUGAACGGCUAGAAUGUGAAAAUCCCUAAGAUCCCCACAAAAUGAAUCUAGAGAGGAUACUAUUCCCCGUAAGAAUUCCUACUUCCUUUGUCAUUCUGCUUUCUAAAAGCAUAAAUAGAGAAAAUUCUACCUUCCACAGCUAUAAGAUAUGAUUGGCAUUGAUUCAUUUUCUUCAGUAUUUUUACCUCCAGCACAGCACAAAUGAUGUUUUGCGAUGGUGUGAAGGUGGGGGCACCGUUGGUGCGGUAGUUAGUGGUGCAACAUAAAAAGGGAGGAUGAUUCUCUCUCCUCCUAAUCAUUAUUCCCUUUCCUCUAUAUUACUUAAACGGUUACGGUUAAGUUACUUUAAUAUCUAAUAUUUGUUGGUUUUUUAUAGAGACAAUAAGAUAAAAAAUAAUGUAUGAAAGGAAAAGAGGAAAAUUGAUAAAAAUAAAAGGGGAGAAAAUCUUAAUCCCACAAAAAGACAUGGAUCCUUCUGCUCCUUUCAAAAGGACACAAUUGGAGUACCAUUCCACCGAGAGCUUGCUAGUGUCCUUUAUUUAUCUAGUUAUGUUUGCAACUUACAAUUAAAGUGCAUUGUUUAAACAAACAAAUGACUAUGGCUAGUUUGGAAAUGUUUUUAAAAUAAUUGAAAACUGUUUUUAGAAAGAAAAAAAAACUGUUUUUAGGUUUCAAAAGAACUUGAAGUGUUUUCUACAAGAAGCACUUCAAGUAUUUUUCCAAAAUUCACUUACAUUUUUAUAAGGAUUAUUUUCAAAAAUAUUUUCACCAAAAUAUCUACUUCCCAAAGAGACCAAGACCAACACCAAAAACCCUUUAAUUUGUUGACCGGCAGAGGUGCAAAUUGUUCAACAAUCUCAAAAGCCAAAACAAGUAGUACUAUCUUCUAAGUCUGCCCAUCUACAACGACCAUGAUAGUGACCGGCACCGUUUACUGAUAUUUUUAGUGGUGGCAACGGAGCAGAAUUCUAAGGCUACCGUGGAACUCAAACAAAAUAAAGAUAAGACUCAAUCAAAUGCUAGGUUGAGCCAUUUAAUUUGUAUUGGUUUCAUCAAUAUUGCUCGUGUGGCGAAAAAAAACUCUUAAUAUUACCUUUGUGGUUAACUCUGUUAUCGCUACUCGGUAUUACGGUCUGAUAGUGUUCUUCUUCACUUUGAAGCAAGAGAUCUUAGGUUUGAAUCUUGUAGAUGGUGAAUUCGAUACCAAAUUAGGAUGUCCGUGUGUGGCUUAGUCAAACUCCCUCUUCCUUUAAUGUAAAAAUACAGAUGCACUAAAAAGAAAAAAGAAAAAAAACCUCUGUUAUUAAUUUCAGUUCAAAUUGAACAUACAAUCCUACCGUUAUCACUAUCUAAGAAUUACUUUCAAUGAUGACAUCAUGUGUUUUUUUUUAAUGGACCAACCAAUGGUAUCAUCACAGUAGUUUACUCUUCUGAGGGCCGGAAAGAUUCACAAAGAUAUUUCAACCUUUUCCUGACCAUUAUCAUGUGAUUCACAAUGAAAAAAAAUAAACUCAAGACAUACCUUGUGGAAUACAAUAUAUGUCUGGAAUUCGUCAUCUACUAUUAGCUAUAAUCAGAAAGAAAUUUCACUAUCCUAGAGGCGGACCAUGUAGCUAUGCGAGCAUACACUCACACACACUGAGUUGUCUGUUUGGUACACGCACUCAAACUCACCUAAUAGGCUAAUUGUCUAUGAUGCCGUAUGCAGAUAGUCGGGCAAAGAACUCCCUCCAAAUUAGGGCAGUGUACCCAAGUAGAAUUGGAAGUCAACUUUGAGAGUACUGUUAGCAAAAAUAAUACAUACAAUUAGUAAGCAAUCACAUGAAGCUAAUUAGUAAGAAAACAAAUGUGUGUUUAAGUGUCGCAUUAUUUUAUGUUGAGAUCACGCGGUUUGUGGGACAAUGGAAUCGAAAAGCAAACCAAAACCGCGUAGUGCUGGAAUCUGUAAUUUGGAAGAAUUUACCAAAGACUUUGAUAAGACGUCAAAGUCAGUUCUUCUCCUUGCUCUUGGCCUCCUCUUCUUUCUUCUUCUUCUUCCUUAUCAUCUUCUCCUUAGUUGCUGAAAAAGAAAAAAAAACAGAAAAAAUGGCGGUAACCACCGUACUUUUAUUAGCAGUUUUAUUCAUAGCUGGCCUCGUAAAUAUUUUCUUUCGUUUUCCCACCACCAAGCUCCUUGCUUGGUUUCAAUCUUUGUCCAAACCCUACUCCACUCCUACUACCACUCCAAGCAAGGACAAAGAUAAUCAUGUUGUGAAUAGUAUUAGUCCGCAACCAAAAGUAGCAGAUCAGGCGGCGGAGCUGAAGCAAUUGUUUGCCACUUUCGACAAGAACAGUGACGGGUUCAUCACAAAGCAGGAGCUCAAGGAGUCACUGAAGAAUAUCAGGAUUUUUAUGAGUGAUUCUGAGGUGGAAGAAAUGGUAAAGAAGGUGGAUGCUAAUGGAGAUGGGUUGAUUGACUUUGAUGAGUUUUGCAUGCUGUGCGGGUCCAUGCUUCGUCGGGAUGAUGGGGUAGUGGAGGGCGGAGAUGGGGGAGGAGCGGAGGAGGAGGAGGAGUUGAAGGAGGCGUUUGGUGUGUUUGAUAAGGAUAAAGAUGGGUUGAUUUCGGUGGAGGAGUUGGCGGUGGUGUUGUGUUCUUUGGGAUUGAGAGAGGGGAAUAAGGUGGAGGAUUGUAAGGAGAUGGUGAAGAAAGUUGAUAGGGAUGGAGAUGGUAUGGUCAAUUUUGAUGAGUUCAAGAGGAUGAUGAAAGGUGGAGGACUUCUAUUAGCCCACUAAUUAGGUAUUGAUCUCUAAUUAAGCUCCUACUUCCAAAGCUCUAGUAAGAUUUAAUUACCAUCAUCAAUUUCUUGUGUUAAAUGGUACGCAUAAUUGGCUUGAGAUAUCGUUUCUCAGGUUUAGGUACUCUUACCUCCCAAGAUCCAGUAAGUUUCAUCUACCCUUCAUCAACUUGUUACCGAAAGAACAUUAACAGUAUCUGAUUGGAUUAAGAUACCGUUUCUCAGGUUUAGGUAGGUAUUCCUCAUGUCUAAACACAUGCACCAAGUUGUAUAGGAAACAAGAUAAACCAGACAUUGAUUAAUUUGCAGCUUCAUCUUCAAUUCACAACCACCAUGUGUCAUGGCAUAGGAUGCCAUUCCUCCCUAACCAACCUUCAUUGCCGUCUCUCUCUACAGUAGUAGCCUUCAUUGCUGUCUCUCUCUAAAUUAGUUUAUUUUAACCUUUCAUUGGCAGACAGACCAUCAUGGUCUAUGCCCUUAUGGGUUUUCAAUAGACAUUUACCUUUUACCCCCUCUUGCUGUGUGAUAUUAUUAUCUGUAAUAUUUCUCUCCAACCUUGAUGAGUUCAACAGCAUAUGAUGUAUUGCAAUUCUUUUCUAUACAAGCGAUAUUGGAAAGAAUGAAAUUGAACUUGAAAUCUCGAAGCAAAAAGAUGAAUAUUUCUAACUACUAAUCGCUUACUAAAUGCUCUUAACUAAUUAAGUUACAAAACGCUUAAAAUGUUUUGUUUUGUGAUUUAUAGUUUCACGCAACUGUUGUCAGCUUGAGGCCAAAAAGAAAAACAAAUGUUGUCAGCAAUUUAACUAUUUUUUAAGCCUAUGAAGUUUCCAAAAACUCAUCUCUAGGCCAUGCGUGUAGUUUUCUAUGUCAAUGCAUGUGCCCAAUUGUAAAUUUCAUGGCUGGCUGAAAGCAUGUUGUGAAUAAAUAAAUACAGCCUAGGAUCUUCGUUGGCAUUUGCAAUAGAAAAGAAAAAGGAACAAAAGCAAAAGCCAAAGGCCAAAAGCAAAAGUUAAAGGGAUUAUUAUAUGUAUUUCUGAACGACUAAGAUUAAAUAUAAAAGAUCUGGAUAAUUGUAGAAAUCAAACUUCUAGCUAAAACAAUUGCAGCAUUGAAGCGAUAUCCGUAUUUCUGCUGCUAUAUCAAAAUUUUCUGCAACAUAGAAAAAUGCCGUCUUCAUGAAGCAAUCCCCUGUCCAUCGAGUAAUCAGACUGAUUCAGAGAAGAGUCAAGUUUACGGUGCUAAAGAGAUCCUUUGCAUGUACGAAACGGCAAAUUCAUAUUCCCACUUAUUUUUGGUAAUCAUAUUCCCACUUACUUUUUAUAUACAGAAAUCCAAACGAUUUUGGGAAAAAAAAAUUCGUGGACAGGACCUCGAGUUGAGUGCAGCGAUAAAUACUCUUAAUUACUUAAGCUACAAGUCUCUUACAGACCACACAACUUAUGCUCAUUCACUUGCGAACAACUCGGGACAGAUAAAGGUAGAAUACCAGAGAGAUCAUCUUUCAUCUUUCGAUUCCUCAAGAAACCCUGGCCAAAACCACACGUGCGAGUUUCCCUGCCCAUCGAAAUGGCAUUUGGAAGUGUUGCUGGCUUAACGUUUGGGUUUCGGCAUAGAGCAAAAAUCGGGGAAAAGGACAAAGGAAUGAGCGAUGCCCACGGAAGUAAGGAUGCCAUUCACAGAUGAUAAGUACGAUCAAAUUUUGGAUCUGUACGAUCAGUUGGCGAACACAAAAAAUUGUAGAGGAUGCAUGGAAUGUACAAGAAUUCAGCCGACGAAAUUCGAUUGAAUAAUAGGGUUUAAAGCAUAAACCCUCUUUAAUUGAAGUAUAAAAAGAUACAAUUAAAUCACUAAAUGUUUCUUCCUAUAAAACCUACAGAACAUAUCCCUGAAUUCGUGUUUGAACGAAACUGCGUCGUCACCAUAACAGAGGAAAGAAGCUGCAUCUCUGUUUCCCAAACAACACAAAUACAGCUUGAAGUGCCUCCAUGUCAUUAAAACUACCACACGAAAGCACAUGAUCCGUCCACAAAGCCGAAGAAACAUUUAUCGUUAUACAAAUUCUUUAGAAAACAUCCGGAUGAAAGCGCCCUGGGAUGGAGCUGCUUUGUUGUGCCUGCUUUAGGUGCAUUGUAAGUGCGUAGUUGUUCACCUGAUAAGGUAUAAAAGAAAUAAUCAAACGACAGAAAUCAGCACACACAGAAUUUAGAAAACUUAAGCAAGCAAUGACCACGAUGAAGAAAGAAUCAACUUAAAAAGGAACGGUAACAGACUAGGAAGGAGAUAAUGUAAUGAGCUGUUUAUAUAAAGCAAGCAAGACCAUAUUGUUCUCCCAAAACUUCCAUCCAAAUAUAAGGUUGUAUAAAGUUAUUAGGUUCCUGAGCCCAACCUCGAGGGUUCUCAACUGUUCCUGGUACUGGGCCACCAGUUGCUUCAGAUGCUGCAAUUCCUGGCCUCUAUCUUCAAACUCCUUCUGCCGUUCAUGCUGAGUGGAUACAGCUCGCUUUAAAAUUGCAUUUUCCUGAAUAAUAGCUUCCAUUUGUUCCUUCAGCAUCAUAUUUUCCUACAACAAGGAAAAACAUAAGUACCGCUAAGCCAUUAGGAAAAAAAAGGAAAAUUAAUAGAUGUUGCAUCCUCAAACAUUCCCCCGGUUUUCUACUCACUGCCAAGGGAAGAAAAAAACAAUAACUAGACAAAGAGAAACAUAUAUUGGACAUGCAAUAUAUGUAAUUAAGAGGUCAUACCUGGCGAAAGCUUUGGGCUACCUCUGUGGUUGCACAAGCACUAAUGGACUUCUCCAAAGCCUCAAGCACCCUUGAAGCACGAGCUUUAGCAUCAUACAUGUUAGAGGCACUCAUCAUCUCUCUGACAACGAGCUCCACCCACUCAGCUCCAUCCUUGGGAAGGUUAUUUUGCACUGAUGGAUCAUCAGUUACUGCAACCUCUCCAUUUGUUGCUACCGCACCUGAAACAAAAUAUUGAUCAACCCCCCUUAAUGUCUACAAUACUAGCAAGAUUACCAAAAAACUUAUAGAUUCAAUUCUUGAAAGACUGUCACGGUGGUAAGCCCUGUGGAAGGUGAGACAACGAUAUAACUUUCUAGGUAAAGCAAGAAAGUAUCUGCUCAUACUUUGUGAUUGGAGUUGCACAUUUGCUUCUGGCGCUAUAUCAGAUUUUCCUGCUGCAGAACCUAAACGUAGCUCAUUCAAACUUUUGAUAGCCGAAUCCAAAUCACCACCACAUUCUUCAAGUGCUCCCUCCAGAAGCUAGGAUAAUAAUUUCAAAAUGCUUAGUAACCUUUCAUCUUAAUUAACUAGAUAUGAUGCACAUCCUCCAAAGUUGAAGGGUAUUAAGAACCAUGACAAGAAAAACAAAAAUGGCACGUAUAUGCAUGCGGAGUUUCAAUUACGGGAGGUCACCAAUCACGUGGGUUGUCGAUCGAGUUACACCAAGAAGUCAAUGCAACCAACCACAUUGAAGGGGCAGCGUGCAUCCGUGUCACACAUGUUUAACUCCCUGUAUAGUGUUUGUACAUAUACACACAAGCGCACACACAUACGUAUCUGUAUGUAAACAUACACUUCAUGGCAGUCGGAAAAUCAGAAAUGCAACAAAGCAAAUAUGCCAGAGAACGAAGAUAUAAUAUAAAAAAAUGAUAGAGAAACAUGUAAUAUGCCACAAAAUGAUCAACAAGACUCAAACCAAUUAUCAUAAAAACACCCAGAACACACGAAAAUGCAAGAGGGAUUCCAUUUGUAGUUUCACAAUUGAACUAAACAAUUCACGAUAAUCAUGGCAUACGAAAUUCAGGGACGCCGAAUACUAUGAAAAUGCAUUCCCUAAUAUUUGGCAUUUAAAUUAGGGAACUUUAACGAAAAGAUCAUGUCAUGUUAACUUUAACGAAAAAUCAUAUUUUUACGCUAAAAAAUCAAUUCUAAUACUAUUCACUUUAUCUUUUAUUUUGUGAUUAUAGUUAAAAUCUAAAGUUUCCAAGUCAUUUUCAUUAGAUUUUCUUUUAAAUUAGGCUCGCUAAUCGAAUCCAGUCCUAUCAUCCAAUCCAAUCCAAGCAAUCAAAUUUAUCCCUUCGAAUGAUGCAUACAACAAUAAAAAUCAACAAUUCCAACAUAAUUACACAGAAUUGAUUAAUUAAUGAAAAAAAAGAGAAAAAUGAAUGAAAUGUGAACCUGGUUGUCCAUGUCCGGGAAAACGGCCCUGAGUUGUUCGAUCAAAUGCGAGGCAGCAAACGACGUCGUGGAGGGAGGAGAGAAGCGAACAGGGGAGGAAGAAGAAGAGCAGCGGAUUCUCUUGGAAGCGGAGGAGACGGGAGGGGAAGUCGACGGCAGCGAGUUGUCUUCGAAAAUCGAUGAUCUCUUCCCGCACACAACGGCAGACAUGUUUUGCCUUCUCUCACUCUCUCCCUUCUUCCUCCUCCCUCUCCCCCGCCGUCGGCUUCCUUCUCAUGCAGCGCACCGUUUCGAUCUCAGUUUUCCCCCAAUUUCCAACCCUAAUUUCCGAUCCAGAUCGCAACCCCCUCCAAUUCCAACCCCUAAUUUCCCCAAAUUUGGCAACAAUUACAAUUUCAAAGUUUUAUGGGGAGAGAAAUAUAAUUUCGGAAAAGUAUUUAAUCGGACAUUGAAUCUUUGGUGCUUCUGUGUUGCUUUCUCCCAUGGCGCUUUUGGCCUUUGGGUUUCCCUCCACAGCGGGUCACCGGUGAGGAGAUUGGUGAUAGAAUAACGCCUGGUUCCCGAGGGCCACGAAUCAGAUGACGACACGUCAGAGAAGAAGGGAUGUUAAGUUUGUUGGUGGGUUACGUGGAAGGUCUCUAUUGGGCAGUGCUUGAGAGUGUAUGACAAGUUGGAGGUUCGGUGUGUGACGUUAUCAUGUCGUGAGGUUUCUCGGUCGUUUGGUUCAAGGAGCCGGCGCCGCCCUGGAUCGCAAGUCAAUUAAAUCCUCUCUCUCCCUACGUUUUCCAUUUUUUUAAUUUUAUGGGCUGGUUAAGAGGCCCAACCCAAAGUCCAAGCCUACGUAUACUUGCAAUUGCACAUUAUUUUACAGUUUUAUUGAAGGUGGUAUUUAUCAGACGGUCGAUCUGACUGUAUUUUUUAGAACAUCGAUAUUUUACAUUAAUGAGAGGGAGGUUCUGCUAAGUUACAUAAUGGGUAACCUAAUUUGAUAUCGAAUUCGCCAUUCACAUGAUUCAAAUCUAAAACAUCUCAUUUCCAAGUGAAGAGGAAUACCACCAGAUCGUAUUACUGAGUGGCAAGGACAACAAUAUUUGAAUGUGUUAUUUGAAAUGCUAUAUUCUAUGGUGGGAAAGAUUUUUCAAUGUAUUGGGAACACGUGGUACACUAUAUCUCUACUAAUUAAUAAAGCAUUCAUUGUCAACCAAAACCCUAUAAAAUUAUCAGUUUAACCUUUUAAUUAAAACAGAACAUGAAUAAGAAAUAUGGGGCAGAAAUGUAAUUUCACAAACCAAAUUUUGCUUUUUUUUUUCAAAGUCUCACCUACAUGUAAUUCUAACAUAUCUCUAAUUUAUUAAAAAAAAUAAAAAAUUCUCACUCACAUUUUCUAUCACUCUCUUCCUCUCUCUUUCUAUUUCAAAAACAAAAAUAAAAAAAACUUCUCACACACUUUGUGUGUGCCCAUAUGCUAGAAUGUUAUUAUACAUGUAGAAGGAAUUUUUUUUUUCAAGUGUUCAUCCACUUGUAUAAUGACAUAUGACGCAUUUUUCAGUAUUCGGGUAGACUAAAAACUAUCACCUAUGGUGGACGUGUGAUUAUUAAAUUGUCUCACCACCUUCACAAUCCGACUGUUCUGAAUCCUUCAAAUAUUUAGGGUUUCCAUUCCAUGGUUUUUCCCUGAGUUCCAGAGGCAAGAUUAGCAUCAUUAGAAGUUGGAACCAAAAAAGAGCUCCAGCAAUAAAAAUUGGGUGUAAAUUAAUAGACUGGAUAGUGAAACCCAAAGGAUGGCAACCACCGAACCAGGAUCAUCUCCUGAGCAAUUCCCUAGGGAUCCCGCAAUCUUAUCCGUUCAUUUUAUAUCGUGCGGUCAGUUUUCGUUAGGUACUAUUCAUAUUUGAAUUUUAAAAUUUAAAUUUUAAAUGAUUUCUGACCACACAAUAUACAAUGAACGAACAAGAUUGCGGGAUCCCUAGGGAAUUGCUCAGGAAAGGAUCCUGACCUCCACUUAGUUGAAGGUGAUGAUGGCAUGGGGCUUCGUGUUCUGAUGCAAUCAGAGCCAAGUUGUUUUUGGCUUUUCAGAUGGUGGAGCGAAAACUAGUAAAAAGAAGCAUAUUAACCCUAGCAUGAUACCAUAUUUGAUGCAUGAAAUUCUCCAAAUUUGGUGGUGUUGGUUCGACCAUUCAUGCUUAUGUGACUCAUAAAGCUGGAACGUUAAAAUCUUAAUUUGAAUGAUUGCGCGACUAAUCAUAGCACUUUUGUAACACCUUUACUCGUAUUGGAUAUGAUGGAGCUCAAUGAUAUGCAUGAUCUGAGUUAGAUGUUGUUCGUCCUGAUAAUUCAUGCUUACGAGACAUCACAAAGCAGAAAACAACCAUAAUCAGCGCGGGUGUUAUCACGAUUGAUCCCAUCACUAGCCUUGAUCAUAUGCAUGAUUUGAUUUGGGGUCCUACAUGUUAACCAAUAUAUGGCUACCUUGUUACCAAGUAAGUCCCAACUUGAAAAGGGUUUCGGCAUAUUUGCCAUGCAGGGCAAAUGUGGAUUUCACAAUUCAAUUCAAUACAUAUCCUCCAUCUUUCGCCUCCUAUUGUCCUACAAUGCAAAGCUUUCAGAUUUUGGUUUGGCGAAAGCCCAGUCGAGGGCAGUGGCGGAUCCACAGUGGGGUCAAUGGGGUCGCACGACCCCUUGGAAGCCAUGGAAACAACCUUAGAGACCCUUUGGAGCUGCUGGUGCGACCCAUUAGCUGCACACCAAGUGUUCGACGAAAGGUCCUCGGCUGAGCUGGUUGAAGACGAAGGCGCUCACGCGCCUGUUUUUUUUUUUUUUAAACAACCUGGGCAAAAAGACGUCGUUUUGGGCCAGGUCUAAAGAAAAAAAAAGCCCAGCGUGUCCUUUUCAACCCUAUUUCACACAGAUCCGAAACCAUUCAUUCCAAAACCCCCAAAUUUCUUUUGUUUUCUCCUCCUCCAACCCUAAGUUCCAAACUCAAUCCCCCCCAAACCCUCAACUCCAUCUCCUCCCUUGCUGCCGCCAUUAAGGUGCAUUUGUGCUGCCGUCGUCGUCACUGUGGUGGUGGUGCCACCAACUUUGCUCUUUGUAUUUGCUCAUUGUUAUUGUGAAAUUUCACAAUUCAAGUAAGUUCUAAACCCUAUGUAUGAUAUAUUUAAUUUAAUUGAAACCUAAUUCAUAUUUAUUUUGAUUAUAUUGGUGGUUUGUUUAUAUUGUGAGUAUUUAUUUUGAAUAUUUUGUAUAUGUAGAAUAUAUUUAAUUUAAUUGAAUUCAAUUCAUAUUUAUUUUGAUUAUAUUGAUGGUUUGUUUAUAUUGUGAGUUUUUUAUUUUCAUUAUUUUGUAUAUGUAGAAUGCAAGAUGAGAUAUUUAAUUUAAUUGAAAUCCAAUUCAUACUUAUUUUGAUUAUGUUGAUGGUUUGUUUAUAUUGUGAGUAUUUAUUUUGAAUAUUUUGAAUAUGUAGAAUAUAUUUGAUUUAAUUGAAAUUCAAUUCAUAUUUAUUUUGAUUAUAUUGAUGGUUUGUUUAUAUUGUGAGUUUUUAUUUUCAUUAUUUUGUAUAUGUAGAAUGCAAGAUGAGAUAUUUAAUUUAAUUGAUAUCCAAUUCAUAUUUAUUUUGAUUAUGUUGAUGGUUUGUUUAUAUUGUGAGUAUUUAUUUUGAAUAUUUUGUAUAUGUAGAAUUAUUAUGGAACGGUUUUUUAAGAGAAAGUCAUCAUCGGGUUCGGGUAGUUCGAAUAAUAUUGAUAGUUCAAAUACUGUUGGUAGUUCAAGAACUCCAAGUUCAAGACAAAGUCAGUUAGAUAGUGUUUUGGGUAAUCUUGAAGCGGAUCCUGGAUUGAGAACUCGAAUAAUAGAUUAUGAUGCUAAUAUGAGAGAUGAGGUCCGAAGAUCAUAUCUACAAAAAGGACCUUGUCAACCUAGAGGUCAUAAUUUCCCAAUAACUAAUAUGUCGGGAAUUAAUCGACGCUUCAUUCCCCAAUGGUUUGAUGAGUUUGGUUGGUUGGAGUAUAGUGUAUCUAAAGAUGCGACAUUUUGUCUCUAUUGCUAUCUCUUUAAAACCAAUUUUACACAAGUGGGUAGUGAAGCUUUCACUGGAGAUGGAUUUAAGACUUGGAAGAAAGGGAGAGAAAGAUUUAAGAUGCAUGUUGGACAGGUUGGGAGUGUUCAUAAUAAGGCUAGAGAAGCUGCUACAAAUUUGAUGAAUCAAGCUACACAUAUUGAAACGGCAGUGAGCAAACACUCCGACCAAGCUCGUAAGGCUUAUCGCACAUGCUUGAAUGCAUCAAUCAAGUGCACUAAGUUUUUAUUGCGACAAGGUCUUCCUUUUCGUGGCUAUGAUGAAAGUGCCACUUCAAGCAAUAUGGGAAAUUACUUGGAGCUAUUGCAAUUCCUUGCAGAUAAUAAUGAUAAAGUUAGAGAAGUUGUGAUGGAAAAUGCUCCGGGGAAUCUCAGAUUAGUAGCUCCUAGCAUUCAAAAAGAAAUUGUGAAUUCAUGUGCCCUUGAAACACUUGAUGCUAUCAUGGAUGGUCUAAAAGAUAGAUUCUUUUCAAUAUUGGUGGAUGAAGCACGUGAUGUGUCGGUGAAAGAGCAAAUGGCUAUGGUGUGGCGUUAUGUGGAUGACAACGGGCAUGUAAUUGAAAGAUUUGUGGGUAUCCAACAUGUUACCAACACUACUUCAAGUUCACUAAAGGAUGCUAUUGACACAUUAUUUUCUCGCAACGGUUUGAGCAUUUCCAAGCUACGAGAACAAGGUUAUGAUGGUGCUAGCAAUAUGAAAGGUGAGUUGAAUGACCUUAAAACAAAGAUAUUGAGAGAACAACCUUGUGCAUAUUAUGUUCAUUGCUUUGCUCAUCACUUCAACUAGCUCUUGUUGCCGUAGCAAAGAAGAAUAUAGACAUUGCCUCUUUUUUUGCAACGGCUAAUAGUGUGGUUAAUCAUGUUGGAGCAUCUUGUAAGCGGCGUGAUUUACUUAGAGAGCAACUUCAAGAAGAGUUUGUGAUAGCUUUUGAAAAUGAUUGUCUUAUAACGGGGCAAGGCUUAAAUCAAGAAACAAGUCUCAAACGUACCGGUGACACACGAUGGAACUCACACUAUGGUACCUUGAUUAGCAUCAUUUCCAUGUUUUCAUCCGUGGUUCAUGUGUUUUAAAUGGUUAUUGAUGAUAAUCCCAAUGAAAGUGCGAGUGAAGCAAAUAAGUUAAUGAGAGAUAUACGUACUUUUGAGUUUGUGUUUCACCUUUUCUUGAUGAAAGUCAUAUUGGGACUCACAAAUGAUUUGUCACAAGCAUUGCAAAGGAAAGAUCAAGAAAUUGUGAAUGCAAUGGCUUUAGUGAAAUCAUGCAAGGAAAAGCUACAUUGGAUAAGGAAUAAUGGGUUCGAUGCAUUGGUUGAUGAAGUAUCUUCUUUUGUGAAAAACAUUAUAUUGAUGUUCCUAACAUGGAAGAGGCAUUUAUACUUCCAGGGAGGUCAAGGCGUAAUGCUCCAAUAAAGACAAAUCGUCAUCAUUAUCGUGUGGAGCUCUGUAUUUAUGUCAUUGAUGAGCAAAUUACGGAGUUAGAGGAUCGCUUUAAUGAGGUAAAUACCGAGUUGCUUAUUUGUUUGGCAUGUUUGAGUCCGAAAGAUUCAUUUGUAGCUUUUGAUAAACCAAAGUUACUUCGUCUUGCUCAAUUUUAUCCUCAAGACUUUUCGGAUGAGGAUCGUUUGACACUUGAAGAUCAACUUGAGAUUUAUAUUCAUUAUGUGCGUUCCAGUAGUGAUUUCUCUCAAUUGGAAAGGAUUGGUGAUCUUGCAAAAAAAAAAAUGGUGGAGACAAGGAUGCAUCAAGUAUUCAAUUAUGUAUAUUUUCUCAUUACAUUGUCUUUAGUUUUACCAGUUGCAACUGCUUCAGUGGAGAGAACAUUUUCUGUCAUGAAUAUUGUUAAGGGUCCACUUAGGAACAAAAUGGGAGAUCAAUGGUUGAGUGAUAGCUUGCUUGUUUAUAUUGAGAGAGAUAUUUUUGCUUGUAUUGAAAAUGAAGCUAUAAUGCUUCGUUUUCAAAAUAUGAAAUCUCGUCGUGGACAAUUAUAGCUUGUAAUAUUGUUUUCAUUAUGAAUUAUGAAUAAAAGUACUAUGAUUUCAUUUUCAACAUGUUUUUCCAUCCUAAAUUUUUUUUUGGACUUUUACACUACGACCCAUUGUGGUAAGAUUCGUGGCUCCGCCACUGGUUGAGGGAGACAAAACGCAUGUUUCUACUAGGAUUGUUGGAACCAAUUGCUAUGCUACUCCAGAGAAUGUUAAGGAAGCCAUAACAGAUGGUUCAAAUUUUUCGAGACAAUCGAAAUUUUUUUUGGAUGAAUCCAGGGUAUCUCCCACACGUAGGUGAGGACUAAUCCCUCGAGCUGGGUUGGACCCCAUUCGGGGGGGGGGGCAAACUCUUCCAAUGCUGGCUCUCCAUUCACAAGACUCGAACUCGAGACCUUGCUUAAGGGGAACAAGCUCCUUACCACUUGAACCACCAAGCAUUGGUAACAUUCGAAAUUUUAGAUACAGAACAGUCCUUAUGUAAUACUUAGAAUUUUAAGAAGACUGAUAGCUAUCAUGUAUGAUUUAUAUGUUUUACAUUCAAAGAAAAGAGAGUCGAACCUUAAGAGCAAAGCACUCGGAAAAUAUGAAUAUCCGAAUGAGCUCGGCUAUGUGAACUCUUUUUUUAUCCUAUUGAUUCAGAACAUAAUUAACUCAAGAUCUCUGUAUGAGUUUCUUGUUUCAUAAGAAAUUGGAGGUCUAACCAGUACAAUUUGUGUUCCCUUCGUUUUCACAGGACUUGACAUCUAAAACUGAUGUGUAUAAAAAUACAGCUUUGGUGUAGUUUUACUUGAGAUUGUAACAGGAAGAUGCUGGAUUUGACAUUAAAACAACAUGCCUAAACUAAAAUAAGAAUCAAACAAGGAUUCGGAUAUCUUGGACGCAAGAUAUUUAGAUUUGUGUUUCCUAGUUGGUUUGGGAUUUGGUUUUAGUAUAAGAUUUGAUUUCCUAUAUUCUAGGGACUUUGUGUAACCUAUGACAUCUAUUAGUAUAAAUAGAUGGAUGUGGGAUUGAGUUUUGUGUGUGAGAGUUUUUGAGAGGCAUAAGUUUGUAUACUUGAGAACACUUUGAGUUUGUGAGUUCUCUUGUAUUUGUUGGUAAUCAAUAAAGCUUCCGUUGUUAGAGAGGUACUCCUAUAUUGGAGGAACUCUGAAAUCAUUGUGUUUUGUUUAUUGCUUGAUUGGUUUUUGGUUUAGUUUACAACAAAAGAAGAUCCAAGGACAAGAAAUGCCCUAGCAGAGAACAAAACCUGGUGGCAUGGGCUCGGCCACAUUUAGCUGACAAGCGAAAGCUUUCCGUUCUAGUGGAUCCACGCAUGGAAUUGAACUACUCCAUUAAAGGGGUCCAGAAGGUCUCACAAUUGGCUUACAGCUGCCUUAGUAGGGACCAAAAUCCCGCCCUACAAUGGAUGAAGUCGUGAGGAUUCUUACUCCUUCGCAGGAUGUCAAUGACCUCUCGCCAUUUUAUCUCAUAAUUCUCGUUUAUCUCAACUAGGAAGGCGAAAGAAGAAACCUGACGGAACACACCAGCUCACCUACAGCCAGUCUAAGAGCAUCAGAGACUCUCCGUUAAAUACUGGCAAGCAGCAACGCAGAUGAUUGUUGCGCGCGGUCAAUCCCAUUCCUCGACUGCAGACUUGACACACGAUUGAAUGAAACAAAGGUCGCCUUUGUUAACGGUUGUGUAUGAAAUCUUCGAGCCAAAGUGACAAGUGGAAGAGGCUAGGAGAGCUCACAUUUGAUAUUUUGGAAUCAUCAUUCAUCACGCCAAUGUUUCAUUUGAGAUAUAUAUUUGCAGCUAAUUAAUGUCAGCCACUUUGAUCGAAAGUUUGGAGAAAUUUUCGAGUAGGAUGGUCACAUUGUCACAAAGUGUUAUUACUAUAUGUGUUAUAAAACAUAUAGGUGAGCGAUUUAUAUGUGUAAUGCAAGUAAGGUAUAAUAUUAAGAGUGGUGCUAUCCAUGUGGAUGCAAAUUUUCUCCUCUUCGAUCUUGGACGAUUUUGCACCUACAAAACAACUAGCACCUUAGGUUAAGGCCAAAAGUCUCACGCGCCCACGAUGAAUGGGGGGGGGCUUUGGCCGAAGAACCUCCGAUGCCAAAGUUAGAAAUUUAGAGAGAAAUAGUGUUUAGAGUGUUUUGGAAUUUUUGCAAGAGGUUUGGAAUGAGUGUUUGGUAAAAAUGGGUGACAAUUUAUAGGACCAAAUUGGUCCACAUCUUCAAGAAAUGGCCGGCCCUUUCUUUGUGCUUUGGGAUGAAUUUUGUGGUUUUAUUAGCCACUUUAUUGGCUAAUAAAAUAUAAUAGAAAUAAAUGGGAAGUUACCCAAUUGAAUGACUAGCAUUAUUUGGCUAAUAAAGUGGAAGAAAUUUGAAAAGGUGUGGAGCAAAGAGAGGGAAUGUGGCCGGUCUACUAGGUGGGAUUUUAGGGUUUAUUUUAGGUUUAAUUAGCCAAUUAAUUGGCUAAUUAAAUAUGAAAGGAAAUGUUUUAGUAUUUAUGGUAUUGAUUGGCUAAUUUAAAAGGGAAGGAAAGGUGGAAAAGGUAGAAAAAGGUGAUGGAAUAGGCUUUGAAUGGGGUAGCCGGCCCUAUAUAAUUUUUUAGGUUUGAGUGGAUGUUUCAAAUUGAUAAUUAAGGGAUGAUUUUAGGAGAUAUGGGAAGAAUAUAUUAUUUAGAUAAUUAAUUAACUAAAUAAUAUAUUAGGGAAAUUAAGUUUUGGAAAUAAUUACCUAAAAUAAGAUAAUUUGGAAUUGGUUACCUCUUUUGGAGCAUUUUUGAAUUGGUUGAGGAUGAUUACCCACUACUUGAUCGUAGGAAUCCCGGUAUGCCUCAAGGGUAUUUUUGUCCUCUUUCGUUCAAAAGUCCACGUGUCGCCUAGCGAAUAUUUUUGGCUCCACAAUCCACACACCUUUUUUUACCUUUCAUAUACAUCUCUUAAUUUUCAGACAUGAAUAACACUACCCUAUUAAGAAAUAGAUUUAUGUGUUGUAACAUGAACAGAUUUGUAAUACCACAUGGCAUGACAAUAAAAAAACUUCUGGAAAGUUUGAGCUUUUUUAUUCUAUCUUUCAUUAAAAUUUAUUGAAACUUGCUGUAAACAUACAGAUGAAGACAGAUAUAAUCCUCUUAAGAUCUACCGUUUCGAUACAUAGAACCCUGGUUUUCAUCUGCAUCCUCUCCUCUCUGAAUCAUGCUGCACCUUCCUAUAAGUGUAUAUGCUCUCUACAGAGUCAGAUUUCAAACUGAAGCUGAUCAUCUGGAGAUCUAGUAACCUCGAUUUCGGUUUUCGUAAUCGAUCCAUGAAAUAUUUCAACAAUUUACAAUUUUCUGCUGGCUGUUCAUUGGACUGUACAUGAUUUUAACUAACAAGUUCCCUGUGACUCUUGCUAUUUACAACUAUAAACAACGUACAUGCCUUAACAAAAAAAAUGAAAGAAUCGGAUUUCUCAAGUGGAAGCAUUCGUCUACAAACCCUAAUAUUGCAUGUAUACAAAUUAUUCAUGUGUGAUUGUCAUUCAUCAUCAUCACAACUUCACCAGCUGUUCAUAAGUAGAGAUGUCACAUAUCCUUUUCCUCCACAACCCUAUCCGCCGCUUUUCCCGCUCAUACUUAAUUAUUGAAGCAUGUCGAACAAAAAAUAUCUGCAGAUUUUACACCAAAAUUACAAUAUAUCAUUAAAUCUUGGCAGUCAAGAAAAAUUAGAGAAAAUUCAAGGAAAUUUAGUAAAAUGAUCAGAAAUGAAAUCUCAAUUGUUGAAUUGAUCAAAAUCAAACAUUGAAGACAAUACUGAUCAAAUUUGAUAACAUAACAAUCGAAUAUUUGAUGAUAUAUUGAAAAAUGAUCAUUUCAGCAAUUGAGAUUUACAAAUUAAAUCAUUUGUUUAAAUUUCUCAAAAUUCAAAACUGAAGUUUAGAGGUGGACAAUAAUAUAUAGCAAGACUAC
Molecule: long non-coding RNA, 36277 nt
Filed under: Malus domestica (apple)
Lineage: Eukaryota; Viridiplantae; Streptophyta; Magnoliopsida; Rosales; Rosaceae
Description: long non-coding RNA (MDOM_LNC001303)
Source: RNAcentral